This 397-nucleotide ribosomal RNA is filed under the name uncultured bacterium. RNAcentral describes it as "partial 16S ribosomal RNA". It matches the Rfam family "Bacterial small subunit ribosomal RNA", at positions 523 to 918 of the family's 1533-position model. The record is from RNAcentral.
AUACGUAGGGGGCGAGCGUUGUCCGGAAUGAUUGGGCGUAAAGGGCGCGUAGGCGGCGCGGUAAGUCUGGAGUGAAAGUCCUGCUUUCAAGGUGGGAAUUGCUUUGGAUACUGCCGCGCUUGAGUGCAGGAGAGGUUAUCGGAAUUCCCGGUGUAGCGGUGAAAUGCGUAGAGAUCGGGAGGAACACCAGUGGCGAAGGCGGGUAACUGGACUGCAACUGACGCUGAGGCGCGAAAGUGUGGGGAGCAAACAGGAUUAGAUACCCUGGUAGUCCACACUGUAAACGAUGAAUGCUAGGUGUAAGAGGUAUCGACCCCUUUUGUGCCGGAGUCAACACAAUAAGCAUUCCGCCUGGGGAGUACGGCCGCAAGGUUGGAACUCAAAUGAAUUGACGGGG